Papaver somniferum (opium poppy) is the source of this 715-nucleotide long non-coding RNA. RefSeq lists it as uncharacterized. The transcript has 3 exons. The record is from RefSeq and is a predicted model, not a curated record. NCBI's taxonomy places the organism in Eukaryota, Viridiplantae, Streptophyta, Magnoliopsida, Ranunculales, Papaveraceae.
ACGCGGUUGUAGAGUCUUUUUAUCAAUUUCCUUUCUUCUAAAACUAAAACCUUAGAUUGGGUGUGUCUAAUUUACCAGUUAGCUCUAAUCCUGUACCUGGCUGCCUUGAUAAGUCUGCAUGCACCGAGACACAUGUCAAGAUGCUUGGAGAAAACUUUCAUGCAAUUAAACAGAUGUCAAGGGCUUUUUGGAAAAGUAAUAAAAUUCCAAUUUUUCUCCCGUCCUUUGUUUCCGUCCCUCUUCUCUAAAUAUAAUUUCUCCCAUCUCUAAAACCUCUGUAUCAGUGAGUGCUGGAGGGUGAAUCACUGAGAUUUCUUUUGAUAAUGAUUCUUGAGUUGUAAUAGUGUGAAGAGUUCGAGAACAAGACUGCAAAUGGGUGCUCUUGCUGUGGAAUUAGCGGUUGAGAGAUACAAAAUGGCUUGGUGUAGUAAUCUGAGGAAAGCUUCCAGCAAGAAAGCUAGGGACGCAAAGCUGGUAUAUACUUUGAUGUCCUUAUAUGUAUAUAUGUAUGUCAUGGCACUGUAUUUGGGAGUGUGUUGGGAUGUUGGUAAAUAGUUUGAUUGAAUUGCAUGUAUUUCUUUCUCUACUGUAUUAGAUAAUUUUCUUAUGCAUACACAUUAGAAUCUUUAGAUGUAUUUUAUAUGUUUUCGUGCCCAGUGAUUACAAAUGCAUUAAACAACAAUCAAUUGCUUAAUGUUUGUGUUUUUGACAAGUA